CCUACGGGAGGCAGCAGUGGGGAAUAUUUGGCAAUGGGCGCAAGCCUGACCCAGCAACGCCGCGUGAAGGAAGAAGGCUUUCGGGUUGUAAACUUCUUUUCUUAGGGACGAAGCAAGUGACGGUACCUGAGGAAUAAGCCACGGCUAACUACGUGCCAGCAGCCGCGGUAAUACGUAGGUGGCAAGCGUUAUCCGGAUUUACUGGGUGUAAAGGGCGGGUAGGCGGGAAAGCAAGUCAGAUGUGAAAACCAUGGGCUCAACCUGUGGCCUGCAUUUGAAACUGGUUUUCUUGAGUACUGGAGAGGCAGACGGAAUUCCUGGUGUAGCGGUGAAAUGCGUAGAUAUUAGGAGGAACACCAGUGGCGAAGGCGGUCUGCUGGACAGCAACUGACGCUGAGGCGCGAAAGCGUGGGGAGCAAACAGGAUUAGAUACCCCUGUAGUC
RNAcentral lists this ribosomal RNA (443 nucleotides) under uncultured bacterium. RNAcentral describes it as "partial 16S ribosomal RNA". It matches the Rfam family "Bacterial small subunit ribosomal RNA", at positions 338 to 795 of the family's 1533-position model. The record is from RNAcentral.